UGAUUCAAAAUAUCUGAGAAUACCUUCUUCGAGUGGACAGAGGUACUUCCACAAAAACGUGUGCUGUUGCCAGAAGGAUGAAGCAGAUUGGUUGCUAUUUUGGAAAGAUUUUCUACAAUCAUUCCCCAACUUAAUUUUUGAUCACGUUUCAUCUGAAAGUCAAGAAGUUGAAAUCUAUGGCUGAAUGCAUCUCCCAGAAUCGCCUGUUAGAAAUGAGCAAAGCCAUCAGAAAUCUGAGACAGUGUCUGCCCCAAGUCAACUUACAUGAAUGAAACCUGAACUGAAAUAAAUGUUAACAAUGAGAUCAUCAAUAGGAAUCAUGCUUCUCCAGGAAGGCUAGCUACCUUUCUUACCGUGGGAAUGCUCCAUAAGUAUUUGCAUCAACAACAAUACAUGUUUUAGAGACCUGGAGAAAUGAUUACUGCAGUGUGGUAUUUGGACUUCUGCUUCUGUGAAGAUCUGACUGAAUGACUCAAGGAGGUGAGUUUUAUGGACUGCUAAAGGAGGCCUUGGAGAGUGCUGUUGUGGAUAGCAAUGAGGGUGACUCAUCUGGCUAUAGAGCUGGAAAUGGAAAUGUAAUAUUAAAGAAAAUAAAUAACAAGACUGAAAAGAGAAUUAAAUGAGGAAAUGAGGCGUGAAUGCGUGAGACAGAGGUUAGUCUACUGCAUGUAAGUAGAUAUUGCAUAAUUAUUUGGGAAGCAGAACUUAGUAAGGGAACUGUAGGAUUAUGAGUGAACUAGAGCACUCUAGGAUAUGCCUAGCAAUUUCUUUAUUGCAGCAGGUAGAUCUGCCACUCUGUGGUGUAUAAGGGAUAGCUUGAAAACCCCUUUCUUUGAAAAAAUGCAUUAUGAGUAGUGAUUAAUUUGUAUUGCUUACGUAUGUGUUACAAUGAAUUAUUUGCAUUGCCUAUGAGCAGUUUAUCAUAUUCAGAUUUCCAAAAUCAUUCUUCUAAAGAAAAAACAAACAAAAAAACCAUAUAAAUUUACUUUAAAACACAAGAAAUAGGUCUUGAAACUUAAGCUUUGUUGCAUGAAAAUCUGAACUUAGAGCUAGCAAUACUUGAGAACUCUUACACUUUUACAAAUUGAUCUGUAAAGGCAGCUGAGACUGAAUUUGGUGCACAAAGUUACUUUUCUACGUCAUUUGACAACUGACUGUACCCUUACUGCUGCAGAAAUGCUUUGCUUUUCCUAUGUCAGUUACUCAAAUGUCAGUACAGCAUCAGGUCGUAAAACAAACCCCUCUCCAAAAUUUCAUGCAAAAAUUCAUUAGAAAGAAUGAAUAUUUUAAAUUUUAACUCCAGUAAAUGUAAUAUAUAAUAUACUAUAAUAUAUAUAAAAUAAUAUAUAAUCAAACUAUAUCUAUAAUAACUAAAUAAUGUGUAAGGAUGUGCUACUACUCAUAAAAGCAUUGUUGCUGUGAAGUCUGUAAGAGGUUACAUAAACAAAAGCAAUUAAGAAGAAAUUCAAAAUAAAACCUAUCUUUCAAAACUCUGGGCUUGUGUAUACAUGUAAGCUACAAACAGAGGACAAAACUGCUCAAUAAGUUUCAUGUGAAACCUUGUUAGCAAUUUGUAUCAACAAAAUAAAUAGAGGUUAAUUGAGGUGCGCUCAUAAACAUUUUGCUGUCUGAGCAAAUAGUUUUUAUUUGUAAAACUAAUUGAGCCUUUUGUGGUUUGUUUUUUG
Long non-coding RNA from Tympanuchus pallidicinctus (lesser prairie-chicken), 1685 nucleotides. RefSeq lists it as uncharacterized. The transcript is spliced from 5 exons. The record is from RefSeq and is a predicted model, not a curated record. NCBI's taxonomy places the organism in Eukaryota, Metazoa, Chordata, Aves, Galliformes, Phasianidae.